This 404-nucleotide ribosomal RNA is filed under the name uncultured bacterium. RNAcentral describes it as "bacterial SSU rRNA". It matches the Rfam family "Bacterial small subunit ribosomal RNA", at positions 355 to 775 of the family's 1533-position model. The record is from RNAcentral.
UAGGGAAUAUUGCUUAAUGGGCGAAAGCCUGAAGCAGCAACGCCGCGUGAACGAAGAAGGCCUUCGGGUCGUAAAGUUCUCUUACGUGGGGUGAGGAAGGACAGUACCACGAGAAUAAGUCUCGGCUAACUACGUGCCAGCAGCCGCGGUAAAACGUAGGAGACGAGCGUUAUCCGGAUUUACUGGGCGUAAAGCGCGUGUAGGAGGCGCUACAAGUUGGAUGUGAAAGCUCCCGGCUUAACUGGGAGAGGUCGUUCAAGACUGUAGUGCUAGAGUGAGGCAGAGGUAGAUGGAACUCCGGGAGUAGUGGUGAAGUGCGUAGAUAUCCGGAAGAACACCAGAGGCGAAAGCGAUCUACUGGGCCUAAACUGACACUGAGACGCGAAAGCCAGGGUAGCAAACGG